RNAcentral lists this ribosomal RNA (364 nucleotides) under uncultured soil bacterium. RNAcentral's name for it is "bacterial SSU rRNA". It matches the Rfam family "Bacterial small subunit ribosomal RNA", at positions 26 to 387 of the family's 1533-position model. The record is from RNAcentral.
AGAUUGAACGCUGGCGGCAGGCCUAACACAUGCAAGUCGAGCGGCAGCACGGGUACUUGUACCUGGUGGCGAGCGGCGGACGGGUGAGUAAUGCCUAGGAAUCUGCCUGGUAGUGGGGGAUAACGCUCGGAAACGGACGCUAAUACCGCAUACGUCCUACGGGAGAAAGCGAGGGGACCUUCGGGCCUUGCGCUAUCAGAUGAGCCUAGGUCGAUUAGCUAGUUGGUGAGGUAAUGGCUCACCAAGGCGACGAUCCGUAACUGGUCUGAGGGGAUGAUCAGUCACACUGGAACUGAGACACGGGUCCAGACUCCGUACGGGAGCAGCAGGUGGGAAUAGUGGACAAGUGGGACAAAGUCCUGAC